UUAUUCACCUGUUUAUCAAAACAUGGCCUAUUGAGUAUAAUUUUAGGUCGAUCUGCUCCAUGAAAUAAAUUUAAAUAGCUGCAGUAUAUUGACUGUACAAAGGUAGCAUAAUAAAUUGUCUUUUAAUUGAAGAAUUGAAUGAAUGAAUUGAUGAAAUAACAACUGUCUCUAUUUUAUUUAAUGAAUUUAAAUUUUUAGUAAAAAUUCUGAAAUUUAAUUAUGGGACGAUAAGACCCUAUAGAAUUUUAUUUAAUAUAAUUAUUUAUUUAAAAAUUAUUUGUGAAUAUAUAAUUAAUUUAAAUUUGAUUGGGAGGAUUGGUAAAUAAAAAUAACUUUAUCUAAAAAUUAAUUUUGAUGAAAAGAUUUUUUUUGACUUAUAAUUUAUGAUUAAAAGAAUAAAUUACCUUAGGGAUAACAGCGUAAUAUCUUUUGAUAGACCACAUUGAUAAAGAUGUUUGCGACCUCGAUGUUGAAUUAAGAGAAAAGUUAAACGCAGGAGUUUAAAAUUUUAAGUCUGUUCGACUUUUAAAAUCUUACAUGAUUUGAGUUCAAAUCGACGUAAGUCAGAUUGGUUUCUAUCUAUA
Molecule: ribosomal RNA, 584 nt
Filed under: Apis cerana cerana
Lineage: Eukaryota; Metazoa; Arthropoda; Insecta; Hymenoptera; Apidae
Description: partial 16S ribosomal RNA
Rfam family: Bacterial large subunit ribosomal RNA
Source: RNAcentral